This 455-nucleotide ribosomal RNA is filed under the name uncultured archaeon. Its description in RNAcentral is "bacterial SSU rRNA". It matches the Rfam family "Archaeal small subunit ribosomal RNA", at positions 394 to 848 of the family's 1478-position model. The record is from RNAcentral.
CUUAACGGGAUGGCUUUUCAUUAGUGUAAAGAGCUUUUGGAAUAAGAGCUGGGCAAGACCGGUGCCAGCCGCCGCGGUAACACCGGCAGCUCUAGUGGUAGCAAUUUUUAUUGGGCCUAAAGCGUCCGUAGCCGGUUUAAUAAGUCUCUGGUGAAAUCCUGCAGCUUAACUGUGGGAAUUGCUGGAGAUACUAUUAGACUUGAGACCGGGAGAGGUUAGAGGUACUCCCAGGGUAGAGGUGAAAUUCUGUAAUCCUGGGAGGACCGCCUGUUGCGAAGGCGUCUAACUGGAACGGCUCUGACGGUGAGGGACGAAAGUUAGGGGCGCGAACCGGAUUAGAUACCCGGGUAGUCCUAACUGUAAACGAUGCGGACUCGGUGUUGGGGUGGCUUUGAGCUGCUUCAGUGCCGAAGGGAAGCUGUUAAGUCCGCCGCCUGGGAAGUACGGUCGCAAGA